Molecule: ribosomal RNA, 558 nt
Filed under: Triticum aestivum (bread wheat)
Lineage: Eukaryota; Viridiplantae; Streptophyta; Magnoliopsida; Poales; Poaceae
Description: partial small subunit ribosomal RNA
Source: RNAcentral
AUGGAGGAACAAUUAGAAGGAGAAGAAGGUGACUGGAACUAUGAUUCAGAUGAUGAAGAUUUCAGUUAUGAUGAAGAUUCAGAUGGAGAAUUAGUGAAGAGGAAGAGCCAGUUUCCAAGAUAUAACAAUGAUACUGAGAUACCUCAUUUUGAAGUAAGCAUGGUGUUCAGAAGCAAAAACCAGCUGUGCAAAGCUUUGAGAAAAUAUGGUCUUGUUACAAAGAGAAGCAUCAGGUUUGUUAAAUCUGAGAAUGACAGGGUGAGGGCCAAGUGUGGAUGGCCUGGUUGUCCUUGGCUAAUCUAUGCAGCCAAUACAUCAAGAACAUCAAGAAUGCAGGUGAUAACUUACAAUGAUUUUCAUGAAUGUGCACAGAAUAGAUGCAACAAACUUGUUACUGCAAAGGUCAUUGCACAAAGAUAUGAACAUUUCAUAUUAGCAAAUCCAAUGUGGAAAAUUGAAAGCAUUAAAGCAACUGUUCUACAAGACAUGUUUGCUGAUGUUUCAACCUCCAAGUGCAAGCAUGCAAAGAAAAUUGUGAUGGAUAGAUUGAUGUCUGGA